RNAcentral lists this unclassified non-coding RNA (488 nucleotides) under Hevea brasiliensis (rubber tree). Lineage: Eukaryota; Viridiplantae; Streptophyta; Magnoliopsida; Malpighiales; Euphorbiaceae. The record is from RNAcentral.
AAAAAAGUUGCCUGAAUCAGUGGAUAAACUCUUUAACUUACAGACAUUGAAGUUGUGUGGUUGUGGUAGUCUUAUUGAGUUACCUAGAGGCAUUUGCAAUUUACUGAACUUGCGGCAUCUUGAUAUUCUCAGCACACAGAAUUUGCAAGAGAUGCCACCGCAUAUCGGUAAUUUGACUAGUCUCUGCCUGUUGACCAAGUUUAUCGUGGGGGAAAGCAAUGGACGGAUCACAGAGUUACAAAAACUUUCUGAUCUACAAGGGCAGCUUCAUAUUAUAAGUUUAGAGAAGGUUGUAGAUAUUCAAGAUGCGGGUUUCGCAAAUUUGAAGGACAAGCCUGGUAUCACUGAAUUAUACUUAGAAUGGUCUCGUGAAUUUUCUUCUGUUUUGAGAAACUCAAGUGAUGAAGAACAAGUUCUCGACUCACUACGGCCACAUCAAAGGCUGUCAAGCCUUUCAAUUACAUCAUUUGGUGGAAGGGAAUUCUCAA